GCCAAGAAUCUUGGGCAAUGGACGAAAGUCUGACCCAGCAACGCCGUGUGGAAGAUGAAGGCCUUCGGGUUGUAAAUUCCUGUCAGAAGGGACGAAGAUAUACAGGUUAAUAUCCUGUAUAGUUGACUGUACCUUCAAAGGAAGCCCCGGCUAAUUACGUGCCAGCAGCCGCGGUAAGACGUAUGGGGCAAGCGUUGCUCGGAUUUACUGGGCGUAAAGGGCGCGUAGGUGGUAUCGAAAGUCAAAUGUGAAAUCCCACAGCUCAACUGUGGACACGCAUUUGAAACUUCGAUACUUGAGUUCAGGUGAAGAGAAUGGAAUUCCAGGUGUAGGGGUGAAAUCUGUAGAUAUCUGGAAGAACACCAGUGGCGAAGGCGAUUCUCUAACCUGAUACUGACACUGAGGCGCGAAAGCGUGGGGAGCAAACAGGAUUAGAAACCCCGGUAGUCC
This 450-nucleotide ribosomal RNA is filed under the name uncultured bacterium. Its description in RNAcentral is "bacterial SSU rRNA". It matches the Rfam family "Bacterial small subunit ribosomal RNA", at positions 354 to 796 of the family's 1533-position model. The record is from RNAcentral.